Sinocyclocheilus rhinocerous is the source of this 117-nucleotide ribosomal RNA. The record is from Ensembl. Lineage: Eukaryota; Metazoa; Chordata; Actinopteri; Cypriniformes; Cyprinidae.
GGCCGCAGCCAUAUCACUCUGCAGCCCAAGACUGGUUGCCCACUGAAGCUAAGCAGGGUUGAGCCUGGUCAGUACCUGGAUGGGAGACCUCCUGAGAAAACUAGGUUGCUGUUGGAA